Long non-coding RNA from Ailuropoda melanoleuca (giant panda), 449 nucleotides. RefSeq lists it as uncharacterized. The record is from RefSeq and is a predicted model, not a curated record. Lineage: Eukaryota; Metazoa; Chordata; Mammalia; Carnivora; Ursidae. The transcript is spliced from 3 exons.
UGAGAUGAUACAAAUCCCCUCGGAAAUGGUACUGCCUCUGUGCGCAUGCGUGUGCGUGCGUGCGCGCGUUUGCGUGUGCGCGCACGGAGGCCCCUCAUCUUACGCCGUCAUUUGCAUUUGUGGCGGGGAGAGGUCAGCUGCCUGGCUGUGCCCAAGCCUGCCCGGGAAUUGAGCAGCCAGUGUGACGUUGGUUCCUUGUCAGCAGUCCCCAGAGAGGAAGGCUGAGGGCAGACGACAAAGUCCAAGUAUCAGUCCUCCAGUGCCCCGGACCUCCAGCCUGUCCUCAGGCUGCUGUAAUAGACAAUUGUUUGCCAACAUUGAUAAAAAACAGCAGAGAUGGAUAUAAAUAAGCAACAGCAGGAACUAAAAAUGGACCCCAGCUACAACAAGAGGAAAAUGGAAGAAUAAAUGGUGACUUUGGGAAGAACAUGCACAUCAAAAUUUCCACC